RNAcentral lists this ribosomal RNA (487 nucleotides) under uncultured bacterium. Its description in RNAcentral is "partial 16S ribosomal RNA". It matches the Rfam family "Bacterial small subunit ribosomal RNA", at positions 28 to 507 of the family's 1533-position model. The record is from RNAcentral.
GAUGAACGCUAGCGAUAGGCUUAACACAUGCAAGUCGAGGGGCAGCACAAGGUAGCUUGCUAUCUGGGUGGCGACCGGCGCACGGGUGCGUAACGCGUAUGCAACUUGCCCUAUACAGGAGGAUAACCCGUCGAAAGACGGACUAAUACUGCGUAUGCUCACAACUUGGCAUCAAGUGGUGAGGAAAGAAAUUCGGUAUAGGAUAGGCAUGCGUCCCAUUAGCUUGUUGGUGAGGUAACGGCUCACCAAGGCAACGAUGGGUAGGGGAACUGAGAGGUUUAUCCCCCACACUGGUACUGAGACACGGACCAGACUCCUACGGGAGGCAGCAGUGAGGAAUAUUGGUCAAGGGGCGCGAGCCUGAACCAGCCAAGUCGCGUGAAGGAUGACUGUCUUAUGGAUUGUAAACUUCUUUUAUACGGGAAUAACAAGAGUCACGGGUGACUCCCUGCAUGUACCGUAUGAAUAAGCAUCGGCUAACUCCGUG